UGAGUAUCCAUGCCCCACGUAAUGUGCCACACCCCCACUCUCUUCCAUGAGAAAAUAAGAUGCCUCUCCCUCCUAUGUUGUCACCAAAAAGAAUAGAGGGGGCAUCCAAGAGUUGGAUGCCCCAAACUCCACACGUCUAAGCCUUCUUCCCAACCCCUUUUGAAGGGAUUUUGUGAAGCUUUUACUGUUAGUUCUUAGACAUCAAAAAAAGGCUCUUCUAUUGAUUUUACAGUAUAAAAUUGGAGAAAAAAAAGUUC
This 257-nucleotide long non-coding RNA is filed under the name Elaeis guineensis (African oil palm). RNAcentral's name for it is "long non-coding RNA (EGUI_LNC067104)". Lineage: Eukaryota; Viridiplantae; Streptophyta; Magnoliopsida; Arecales; Arecaceae. The record is from RNAcentral.